Molecule: transfer RNA, 63 nt
Filed under: Bathymodiolus securiformis
Lineage: Eukaryota; Metazoa; Mollusca; Bivalvia; Mytilida; Modiolidae
Description: tRNA-Trp
Source: RNAcentral
AUCAGGGCAGCAAAUAAUCGCGAUAAAUUUCAAGUUUAUGGAUGAAGAUUUAUUCUCUUGAUU